RNAcentral lists this ribosomal RNA (524 nucleotides) under uncultured Gallionellaceae bacterium. Its description in RNAcentral is "bacterial SSU rRNA". It matches the Rfam family "Bacterial small subunit ribosomal RNA", at positions 8 to 526 of the family's 1533-position model. Lineage: Bacteria; Pseudomonadati; Pseudomonadota; Betaproteobacteria; Nitrosomonadales; Gallionellaceae. The record is from RNAcentral.
AGAGUUUGAUCCUGGCUCAGAUUGAACGCUGGCGGCAUGCUUUACACAUGCAAGUCGAACGGCAGCACGGGGCAACCCUGGUGGCGAGUGGCGAACGGGUGAGUAAUAUAUCGGAACAUGUCCGGAAGUGGGGGAUAGCUCGGCGAAAGCCGGAUUAAUACCGCAUAUGCCCUGAGGGGGAAAGGAGGGGAUUCGCAAGGACCUUUCGCUUUCGGAGUGGCCGAUAUCGGAUUAGCUAGUUGGUGAGGUAAAGGCUCACCAAGGCGACGAUCCGUAGCUGGUCUGAGAGGACGACCAGCCACACUGGAACUGAGACACGGUCCAGACUCCUACGGGAGGCAGCAGUGGGGAAUUUUGGACAAUGGGGGAAACUCUGAUCCAGCCAUGCCGCGUGAGUGAAGAAGGCCUUCGGGUUGUAAAGCUCUUUCAGACGGAAAGAAACGGUUACAGAUAAUACCUGUGACUAAUGACGGUACCGUCAGAAGAAGCACCGGCUAACUACGUGCCAGCAGCCGCGGUAAUAC